This is a long non-coding RNA of Folsomia candida, 933 nucleotides long. RefSeq lists it as uncharacterized. NCBI's taxonomy places the organism in Eukaryota, Metazoa, Arthropoda, Collembola, Entomobryomorpha, Isotomidae. The record is from RefSeq and is a predicted model, not a curated record. The transcript has 3 exons.
GUCAGUACAAGUACUGGUUUUCAGCCCUGGACAACGUGAUUUUGAUUCAAUAUUGAUUUCGGUCAUAAAGAUCCAUAAGCACGCAAUUUAAUGUAUACGGAAUAUAUCAGUUGCGCAUGCUGAUGUGGAAAUUUGUAGAGUGAACCGAAAUCGGAAAAUACAUAUUGCAAUCUGGAAAUUGGUCUCUUCAGCUAAAAACGAACAAGCAAUGCAUCCGGUCGAGCAAUUCUACCGCAUCAAUUAUGGCGCUUCUCUCCUUGUAUUUGGGCUUUGGAGCUUUUUCGCAAUGGGAAGAGAUAAAUUGGCAGCACGUGGGCGCCGAUGGCGAACUUCAGAAUCUUACUUGCAUCUCCUAGAAUUUCUCGGAGGCUGGAUCGGAAGUUUGUGUGCUCAAAUAUUGUUUUGCCACAAGAUAAGGAAGACAAGUUACCAGUUUGUGUAUUGGAUCAUUGUUAUCUUUCAUGUUAUAUUUAUGACGAAAGAGUUAUUUUAUUGUGUCGGGAGCGUUUGGAAAAGUGGGGAAUCCAUCAGAAAUUGAGAAAUUGUGUACGGUUGACGGUGGCGGGCUUGAAAUGCACAUUGUGCAAAAUCUACGUACACGUACACAUAUACUACGCCGUACGUAACCGCCUCAAUGUUAUAUAUAUAUAUAUAUCGCUCCAAUCGUUUUGUUCGUAUGUCUGUCCGUCCGUCAGCAGCAGUGUUCCGAACGAUACGAUAUACCAACAUUUCAUAUCGUAUCGUAUCGUAUCGUAUCGAAUCGGUGGUUUGAAAACUUUUCGAUACGAUAAAGCGUCUCGUUUCGUAUCGUAUCGAAUCGAUACGAUAUCGACUCCAUAUCGUAUCGUAUCGAAAAUCGUCGAUAAGAUACGAUAUAUAUCGAUUUUUAAAAGUCGAAUGCUAAAAGUUGAUAUAUUAAGAUGAAAUUUUUUA